This 206-nucleotide long non-coding RNA is filed under the name Elaeis guineensis (African oil palm). RNAcentral describes it as "long non-coding RNA (EGUI_LNC014724)". Lineage: Eukaryota; Viridiplantae; Streptophyta; Magnoliopsida; Arecales; Arecaceae. The record is from RNAcentral.
AGAUCACCACGUUGACUUGCAAGAAACUCACUAUACUUUAGUACCGGACUAACUGAGUUUCUAAUUCAGUGAUGGAAUAUUUCUGGAUAUAGUCAAGUACUUGUCAAGUCGGUGCGUGAGUCAAAAUAGAAUUGACCCCUCUGAAUUAGUAGGAGUUAAUGUAUUGAUGUAUUUCAAUUUAAUAAAAUCUAAGAUCGGAUAAUCCA